AAUUGGAAUGUCUUAAGAGAUCUCCAUAGCAACCAUGCUGUGCCAGUAAAUAUGAGUGCACCAGAACAACACUGUAAUUGCUCUGAAUAUACUAACAAACAAUGAUGGAAAAAACAGGCAAUACUAAAAAAAAACUUGUAAAUGUUUAUACAUCUAUCCUAUUAUAAAAACACUGCUUGUAAACGUUCUGCGUGCUAACGAUGCAAGAGGAAAAAGCACAGCACCAACAUGAGACUUUCACAAUCUAUGGACAGAAGGCUCAGACAGCGCACAGGCAACCAGGACUUCAAAUGUUCUUUGAAUUGAUUCCAUGAUUCCCAACCCUUUUUCUACCUCAGUGACCCUCACAUUCUUCUCAAAAACAUAUUUAGAAUGAAACUGUGAUCAUAUUGUGAAAGCUGCCUCAUUUUUUCGCCCAACAACUUUGUUAGUUCUUUCUCCUGGAAGAUUUAAGACUUUCUGCCACCUUCAUGGAGCACAUUUUCGACAACCAUUUUCAUCUUACACUUCAUUGCAAGACUAAUGGGUGCUUUCAGAAUUACAAAGAAAAGCAAACCUUCUAGGCAAGAAGUAAGCAAUGCUUGUAAGUUUGUUCAGUACCAUUCAGAACUCUGGGGAACAAUAAACCCUCAUUAAAAUUAUAUUAUGGGCUUACUCCUGCUCUCAAGAAAUCAGCUAUACAUAUGCAUGUAUGACUCCAGCUCAUAAACACAGAGAGAUUCAAAAAAGGCUAUCAGCCUGUCAUGCCAGAAUUUCAACUCACAGGGGGCCUGAUCUGACUCUUAUUUAAGAUAAUGGGAGUUUUGCUAUUGUCUUUAAAUGGAGCAGGAUCAGAUCCCAUAUGUGUAAGAUCUGCCAGCAUAAUUAUAGAGGUUUUUCUUUUUGCAGAGUGAAAUAGACAUUGCUAUAAGUGUUACAAAUCAGGGCUUCACUCCUGCACUCUUUACUCAGCCAAAACAUCCAUGGAUUUUCUACUGGGAGUUUUACUUGAACAUGGUGUUCAGGGUUGGGUUCCAACCACUAUUUUAAUUGCUUUAUUGAUGCUUUUAGGAAAACAAUUCAAUGGCUUACCUGGAAUAAGAUUAUCCAUGCCCUGAAUGGUUGUUGGAGGGGAGAGGGAGAUUGUUUUUGUUUUUUCUUUCAUUUUGAUUUGGAACAUGGCAUUCUUCGCUCUUUGUACUUCUACCCCGGAAGUAGUGGUGUGCCAUGGCAGUGCCAUCUUUCAAAUCAGAUCAUUGUCCUGAUGACUAUGGUUAUUAAAGAUAAAAAUGUGCCAUGAGAUAAAAGUAGGAGGGACUGAGUUUAGAAGAGUUACUCCGGAUUGACACUAAUGCAGCUGAGAGCAGAAUUUGGCCCAUUAACCUUGCCAUAUUCCAGCUUGAUAAUUAUGUUUUGCUUAUAAAACUUCCUGCUACAGUUUCAAAUGGCAAAACAAUAUUCUGUGCUUCCUGCCCUAAACUAACAUUUGAGAGAACUACUUGGAGACUAGAGAUGUGAUUUAUUUAUUUUAUUUAUUUAUUUAUUAAAGCUCCAUUGAGAGAUAUUGGAUUUAGACAGCAAUUGAGAGGGACAGAGUAGAAAAAUGUCAGAUUUUGCUACAGUAA
Mauremys reevesii (Reeves's turtle) is the source of this 1604-nucleotide long non-coding RNA. RefSeq lists it as uncharacterized. NCBI's taxonomy places the organism in Eukaryota, Metazoa, Chordata, Testudines, Geoemydidae. The record is from RefSeq and is a predicted model, not a curated record. The transcript is spliced from 3 exons.